GGAAUAUUGCACAAUGGGGGAAACCCUGAUGCAGCGACGCCGCGUGAAGGAAGAAGUAUUUCGGUAUGUAAACUUCUAUCAGCAGGGAAGAAAAAAGACGGUACCUGACUAAGAAGUCCCGGCUAACUACGUGCCAGCAGCCGCGGUAAUACGUAGGGGGCAAGCGUUAUCCGGAUUUACUGGGUGUAAAGGGAGCGUAGACGGUGAAGCAAGUCUGAAGUGAAAGGCGGGGGCUCAACCCCCGGACUGCUUUGGAAACUGUUUGACUGGAGUGCAGGAGAGGUAAGUGGAAUUCCUAGUGUAGCGGUGAAAUGCGUAGAUAUUAGGAGGAACACCAGUGGCGAAGGCGGCUUACUGGACUGUAACUGACGUUGAGGCUCGAAAGCGUGGGGAGCAAAC
This 399-nucleotide ribosomal RNA is filed under the name uncultured bacterium. RNAcentral describes it as "bacterial SSU rRNA". It matches the Rfam family "Bacterial small subunit ribosomal RNA", at positions 358 to 773 of the family's 1533-position model. The record is from RNAcentral.